RNAcentral lists this small RNA (119 nucleotides) under Marmota monax (woodchuck). The record is from RNAcentral. Lineage: Eukaryota; Metazoa; Chordata; Mammalia; Rodentia; Sciuridae.
GCCAGGUGCAGUGGCGCACGCUUAUAAUUCCAGCAGCUCUGGAGGCUGAGGCAGGAGGAUUGAGAGUUCAGAGCCAGCCUCAGUGAGGCUCUAAGCAACUCAGUGAGACCCUGUCUCUA